This 77-nucleotide transfer RNA is filed under the name Thermovenabulum gondwanense. RNAcentral's name for it is "tRNA-Arg". It matches the Rfam family "tRNA". Rfam says of the family: Transfer RNA (tRNA) molecules are approximately 80 nucleotides in length. Their secondary structure includes four short double-helical elements and three loops (D, anti-codon, and T loops). Further hydrogen bonds mediate the characteristic L-shaped molecular structure. tRNAs have two regions of fundamental functional importance: the anti-codon, which is responsible for specific mRNA codon recognition, and the 3' end, to which the tRNAs corresponding amino acid is attached (by aminoacyl-tRNA synthetases). tRNAs cope with the degeneracy of the genetic code in two manners: having more than one tRNA (with a specific anti-codon) for a particular amino acid; and 'wobble' base-pairing, i.e. permitting non-standard base-pairing at the 3rd anti-codon position. Lineage: Bacteria; Bacillati; Bacillota; Clostridia; Thermosediminibacterales; Thermosediminibacteraceae. RNAcentral also lists the same sequence under 5 other names. The record is from RNAcentral.
GCGCCCGUAGCUCAGCAGGAUAGAGCAACGGACUUCUAAUCCGUGGGUCAGAGGUUCGAAUCCCCUCGGGCGCGCCA